AAUUUGGCUUUACUUUAAAUUCUUUUCCAUUCCUCCAGCUAAUCACAAAGAAAUGGCCUCUUGUCUAUUGACUAUAUUGCAGCUGAACAUUGAUUGAAACUUUUGGCCAUUGGCAAACCUCUCUGUAUAAUAAGCUGUGUGUGAACCCAUAGUGAAUGCAGACCCUCCCCAGCCGUGCCUUCCUUCACCGACUUCACCAUCCUACGAGGAAACCUUGCUUACUUCUGAGGGCUGCAGCUCCGCAGUGUGGAAGCCGAUAAGAAAUCUGUGCUGGCCCUGCCAGGAUCUCUAAGGAAAAGGGCCCAAAACACAUGACUCAAACAACUGCUGGGGCCCUCAAGGAACUCCCUCUGGCCUCGGGGACUGUGGCAGCUGCCAGGGAGCCGCAGCAGUCUGUAAAUAGGACGGGCUGCCCAGAAACAUGGAGCUGCUUUCUCCUGCUGAGCACCCCCUUUCAAGAUACCAAGAAGCCACCAUUUAGGCACAGGUGGGAGUUCCAGAAAGCAAAUAUUAUGGGAAGAUGUCCAAGUCAGCACACAGAGGCU
This 545-nucleotide long non-coding RNA is filed under the name Homo sapiens (human). RNAcentral describes it as "HSALNT0152431". Lineage: Eukaryota; Metazoa; Chordata; Mammalia; Primates; Hominidae. The record is from RNAcentral.